CCUGGCGGCUUUAGCGCGGUGGUCCCACCUGACCCCAUGCCGAACUCAGAAGUGAAACGCCGUAGCGCCGAUGGUAGUGUGGGGUCUCCCCAUGUGAGAGUAGGGAACUGCCAGAC
This 116-nucleotide ribosomal RNA is filed under the name Enterobacter cloacae. Lineage: Bacteria; Pseudomonadati; Pseudomonadota; Gammaproteobacteria; Enterobacterales; Enterobacteriaceae. RNAcentral also lists the same sequence under 33 other names. The record is from RNAcentral.